This is a long non-coding RNA of Numida meleagris (helmeted guineafowl), 2009 nucleotides long. RefSeq lists it as uncharacterized. Lineage: Eukaryota; Metazoa; Chordata; Aves; Galliformes; Numididae. The transcript is spliced from 3 exons. The record is from RefSeq and is a predicted model, not a curated record.
CGGAUGCGCCCAACUACCACCGGCGGCGUUUCCACAGGUGGGACUGGGAGAGCCCCUCAGUGCACGCCUGGACCCACACAGGUGCGGGCACAGCCCUGCUGUGGCCUGCCCAGACACCACCUGUGCCCAACCGCCAUCACCUGUGCUCUGACACCAACGCAGCCCCUGCCUCUCCUUCUGCCAUCCACCACCUCACCGACUUCGUUUACCCCUAUCAGAGUACGCACGUAACGGGCAGCCCAUGGGCAGCACUGCACAUCAUGGUGCCUGCUCCUAGCCAGUGGAGCUGGCCGGGUGCUGAACCACACACAAGCUGCCCUGUGUGCCGCUGUGGCCAGAUAAAGCUGUCACCUCAGAGACACAGAAUACAGCGUUUCCAUACCCACUGCUAAUUGCCAAACUGCUGGAGAGGGCCAGAACGACCAGACGGCUACAAAAUCUACUGCUACAAACACACUCGUUCAAAAUAAAUACCUUGUUUUCAGCUGGCCAUCAAGCUGAAGCUAUCUUCAGCAAAACAACCAGGAAAACUGAGAUUUAUUACAGCCAGUGUGGAACCCACAGCUCCUUUAAGACGUUUGCAGGAGUGAUAUCACCAGCGUUAUUCUUAACAUCACCACACAAAGAAUCUCUUUCCGAGUUGGCUUAGAAAGCACGGUGGUACGUGGCAAUUCCCACAGAAGCUCUUAUCAAGCUUUGACUCGCCCUCACGCUUCUCAUCCCAGCACGAGAUCUGCCACCGGCACCACGCAAGUGGCUGCAGCCGCCACGUGGAAGCCAUGUUUUGCCAAAGAUCUGGUCAAGAUAUCAUUAAUGACUACACAGUACUUCCAGAGAAAACAAUACUGUUCCAGAUUUAUGUUUCAGCGAUGUUAUGCUGCGAGGAGAGCACAUAUUUUUAGAUGUAUUAUUCAUAAAGAAUUUAAUAAUAUUCAAAAAAGCUUGGACAAUUAGAAGUUCCAUGUGCUUGUUUGCAACUUCCAAGAGAAACAUAGACUACACAGACUGAAAUAGUAGAAUUCUGUGAAAUCGGGGAAAAUAAGCUUGAAGCCAACUCCUGAUGAUGGCAGUCUUGGCUGACAAUGGGGAAAAAUACUGAAAAAACGCACAACAGCACUAACACCACCUCUUGAAUCGAGGCUCUUCAGUUAGAUACGUAACAGAUUACAUGCCCUCUGACUUAGCACAAAGGAAAAACUGUAACACAAUCACCACCGUUGGCUUACUCUUUGCUAGACUUCAGGAGUUUGUGCUGAAAAUUGGAAGCUCUUGGCAGUUCACGCUCUGGACAGAUUCUCACAUCUGUGAGAGCUGACACACUGGACAAGGAGAGAGGUACAAGAUGAAAUCAUGAAGGAGCAGAGACGGUUAAUGAAGCAAGUCUCUACCAAGGCCACAGUAACACACACACUCUGUCUCUUCCAAGAGGUCCAGCUGUAACAGAUUGGGUAUUAGAACACAAAAAUACUAUUUUCUGAACUGCUUGAAUGGAAUACCUACAGAUAAGCACUUUCCGCCAUUACAAAGUCUACUGAGCAGGUUAAUUACUUCAGGCACGUAGCCUUACAGAUCUUGAAAGAAGAGGAAGGGGACUGUAUGCUUGAAGAGUUCCAUAGCUCUCCUGAAGUCAGAGUCCCUCAGAGGACACAGGACUGAAAGGUACAGCACAGCUGGCCUUGACAUACGUGAAGGAAUUCCUCUCUCUCUCAUAUUUCCACAAUUUUGAUCAGUGAAAACAACUGAGCUGGGGCCUUGCUGGUAUAAAAGAGAGAGGAACUGCUAACAGGAUGUUCUUGGUGGGAAUGCAAAGCUGUUGGAACUGAUUCUUCUUCCCUGAUCCAGAAGAGCUCAAAUUUUAUGGCCUUCAUAGCAUGCUGCAUAGUUCAUAUUAUUCCAGAAUACAUGAAAACAAGGAAGAAUUGCGAACGUGGUUAGUUUCUGGAGGAAUGUAUUAAGGAUUUUGCAGUGUCAGAUUUGCAUUGCACUGAAAAUGCAAGUGGAAAUUGCAA